Molecule: ribosomal RNA, 292 nt
Filed under: uncultured bacterium
Lineage: Bacteria
Description: partial 16S ribosomal RNA
Source: RNAcentral
GGACUACUGGGGUAUCUAAUCCUGUUUGCUCCCCACGCUGUCGCGCCUCAGCGUCAGCAACGGCCCAGCGGAACGCCUUCGCCACCGGUAUUCUUCCCGAUCUCUACGCAUUCCACCGCUACACCGGGAAUUCCAUCCGCCUCUACCGUGCUCGAGCCCACCAGUCUGACCGGCAGCCCCGGAGUUGAGCCCCGGGAUUUCACCAGCCACUUAAUGAGCCGCCUACGCGCCCUUUACGCCCAGUGAUUCCGGACAACGCUCGCACCCUCCGUAUUACCGCGGCUGCUGGCAC